This 200-nucleotide ribosomal RNA is filed under the name uncultured bacterium. RNAcentral's name for it is "partial 16S ribosomal RNA". It matches the Rfam family "Bacterial small subunit ribosomal RNA", at positions 524 to 723 of the family's 1533-position model. The record is from RNAcentral.
UACGGAGGGUGCGAGCGUUGUCCGGAUUUAUUGGGUUUAAAGGGUCCGUAGGCGGGCCGAUAAGUCAGGGGUGAAAGUUUGCAGCUCAACUGUAAAAUUGCCUUUGAUACUGUUGGUCUUGAGUUAUAGUGAAGUUGCCGGAAUAUGUAGUGUAGCGGUGAAAUGCAUAGAUAUUACAUAGAACACCGAUUGCGAAGGCA